RNAcentral lists this ribosomal RNA (253 nucleotides) under uncultured bacterium. RNAcentral describes it as "partial 16S ribosomal RNA". It matches the Rfam family "Bacterial small subunit ribosomal RNA", at positions 524 to 776 of the family's 1533-position model. The record is from RNAcentral.
UACGUAGGGUGCAAGCGUUAAUCGGAAUUACUGGGCGUAAAGAGCGUGUAGGCGGCCAGGUAGGUCUGCUGUGAAAACUCGAGGCUCAACCUCGAGACGUCGGCGGAAACCAUCUGGCUAGAGUCCGGAAGAGGAGAGUGGAAUUCCUGGUGUAGCGGUGAAAUGCGCAGAUAUCAGGAAGAACACCCGUGGCGAAGGCGGCUCUCUGGGACGGUACUGACGCUGAGACGCGAAAGCGUGGGGAGCGAACAGG